AUGCUGGUGAUCUGCUCUACAAUGCCCAUGCUUCGGAUGAGAUUCUCCCGUUGCAGCAGGGCCUUCAACCGCUCCAGCUCCUCCUCUUCCACGAUUUCCUGAGGCUGCAUGGUGUCCGGGUAUCCUGGUGGCAGCUACAAGAAAGUCAAGAGCCACAAAGCCCCGGACACCUCUUUCUUCCGGUUCCGGCUCCGGUAGGCCAGGUGGGUGGGGAAGCCCCGGAGCCGGGUCCUGCAGCAGCUCCUCUCCCCUGCCGACUCCCCCUGGCUCUGCUCCUUGUUUUCCCUCCGCCGCUUCGUGUCUAAGACGUCGCGCUGCUCCUGCUUGAGGCGGAUCUCUUCCAGCUGCUGCCUGAUGAGAUACAGCAGAUUCAGAUACCGGAGAACUUGUGCGGAGAAGGGUGGGGGGGCAGUGAGGGAGAACAGGGAUCGGGAAAGAGCAGGGAAUGAUGGUCCGUUUGGGGGACUGGUGGGCGAGGGCUGCGGGGGAAGAUGGGACACCUCCUAAACUGAGCCACGAAGACCAAUAAACUGCGUAAGUCCAUCCCUCUUUCCUCCAGCGCCUGGCAUCCUCUCCACCCUGCUGGGGAGCAGGUCAGCUUCCAGAUCCGUCCCCACCCAGGUGGGGAGAGGAGCAGGCAGGGCGAAGUACCUGGCGCACUCCUCUCUGGCCUUGGAGGCCGCCGUCUCCUGGAAGAGGGAGCCGCUGUGCUUGAAGAAGGGCGUGUACUUCUCUGUGUCGGGCCCGGGGUAGAUCCUCCGGUAGCCCCCAAGGUGGGAAUCCUCGUAGCAUUCCUGGUCCAGAAGCGCCGCCUGGGACAAUUCGGUCUGUUCGCGCCUGCAGAAACCGAGCUCUGGGUGAGGCAGCGGGACAGGCGGGCUGGCCGAAGCUCUGAGGCCCUGCCCCGAGCUCCCGGCCUCUCGGGCCCCUGCCCAUGUGGCGCGAGCUGGGAAGCCCAUCUGUGGCCGUCCCGCCCGUGUACGGUAAUGAAAACAGGCUCGACUUCCGGAAAUCUGGUUUUCGUCUUCAGUGCAGUGGGGUCCGCUCAUAGGCUAACGCCAAGUUCUCACAGUCUCACAGGCCCCUGAUUAUAGAAAUUGGGUUUCUAAUUUCAGAAAAUCUAGAGAAGCAGAAAAGAUGAUGAUAAAAAACUGCCCACAGUCUUACAAUGCAGCUCGUAUGUUGGUUCUGAGCACAGAGGCCGAGGCAGGACCUCCUGCGUCUGAACCCUGGCUUUGCCCUGCACCGCCCUGGCCGCCGGCCUUCCCUCCCUCCUGCCCUCUUUCCUUCCUUCCAUCCUUCCUUCCGCCCUUUCUCCUCUUUGAAUGAAAGCAGGAUCACACAGCAUUUCUAAACAGCUGCCUAGCACUCUAGUGUAUGAGUGUGUUCAUGACGUUCAGUAGUUUUCAACCGCUUAUCCCCACUGAAAGAUGGGGUUCAGCAAGUCACGUGCAUAGUGUGGUCUCACGAACACCCAGGGCGUGUACAGUUACCCUUCGCCCCUGCUCACGCAGAUGUCCGUGGGCCUUCCGUGCAUGAGGCCCUCAAGACGGCCUCCGCAAACCUAGUACACGCUGGCCUCGCAUCUUGCUGUGUGGGUGUGGUGGUGGGGGGGGAAGAACAGCAUUAUUAUGCUAAUGCUGAAUCUACUCAGAUUCAUUUUUAUGCCUCGUUAACUGUAAUUCCGUAUCAGCAAUAAAUCCCCACGUGGUAAUAACCCAUCUUACAAGGAAAACAGCAGUGGGUGGACAAUACUGAUGUAACCCAUCCCCUAAAAACAAAGGCAAAAAAUAAAAAACUGUCCCUUAAUGUUGAACAACUAAA
Phyllostomus hastatus (greater spear-nosed bat) is the source of this 1824-nucleotide long non-coding RNA. RefSeq lists it as uncharacterized. The record is from RefSeq and is a predicted model, not a curated record. Lineage: Eukaryota; Metazoa; Chordata; Mammalia; Chiroptera; Phyllostomidae. The transcript is spliced from 2 exons.